AGGACUGUAGUUAAAUAUAACAUUUGAUUUGCAUUCAAAAAGUAUUGAAUUUAUUUCAAUCUGUCUUA
Molecule: transfer RNA, 68 nt
Filed under: Anabropsis tonkinensis
Lineage: Eukaryota; Metazoa; Arthropoda; Insecta; Orthoptera; Anostostomatidae
Description: tRNA-Ala
Rfam family: tRNA
About the family: Transfer RNA (tRNA) molecules are approximately 80 nucleotides in length. Their secondary structure includes four short double-helical elements and three loops (D, anti-codon, and T loops).
Source: RNAcentral